GCCGUUAAACCCCCCACUUUCUGAAGGUUGACCUCGGAUCAGGUAGGAAUACCCG
RNAcentral lists this ribosomal RNA (55 nucleotides) under Scolecofusariella peltigerae. Its description in RNAcentral is "Fusarium ciliatum partial 28S ribosomal RNA". The record is from RNAcentral. Lineage: Eukaryota; Fungi; Ascomycota; Sordariomycetes; Hypocreales; Nectriaceae.